RNAcentral lists this ribosomal RNA (97 nucleotides) under uncultured bacterium. Its description in RNAcentral is "partial 16S ribosomal RNA". It matches the Rfam family "Bacterial small subunit ribosomal RNA", at positions 1386 to 1482 of the family's 1533-position model. The record is from RNAcentral.
CACACCGCCCGUCACACCAUGGGAGUUUGUUGCACCAGAAGCAGGUAGCUUAACUUUCGGGAGGGCGCUUGCCACGGUGUGGCCGAUGACUGGGGUG